Molecule: ribosomal RNA, 783 nt
Filed under: uncultured bacterium
Lineage: Bacteria
Description: bacterial SSU rRNA
Rfam family: Bacterial small subunit ribosomal RNA
Source: RNAcentral
GGAUCUGCGGUGGGUACGGGCAGACUAGAGUGAUGUAGGGGAGACUGGAAUUCCUGGUGUAGCGGUGAAAUGCGCAGAUAUCAGGAGGAACACCGAUGGCGAAGGCAGGUCUCUGGGCAUUAACUGACGCUGAGGAGCGAAAGCAUGGGGAGCGAACAGGAUUAGAUACCCUGGUAGUCCAUGCCGUAAACGUUGGGCACUAGGUGUGGGGGACAUUCCACGUUUUCCGCGCCGUAGCUAACGCAUUAAGUGCCCCGCCUGGGGAGUACGGCCGCAAGGCUAAAACUCAAAGGAAUUGACGGGGGCCCGCACAAGCGGCGGAGCAUGCGGAUUAACUCGAUGCAACGCGAAGAACCUUACCAAGGCUUGACAUGAACCGGAAACACCUGGAAACAGGUGCCCCGCUUGCGGUCGGUUUACAGGUGGUGCAUGGUUGUCGUCAGCUCGUGUCGUGAGAUGUUGGGUUAAGUCCCGCAACGAGCGCAACCCUCGUUCUAUGUUGCCAGCGCGUUAUGGCGGGGACUCAUAGGAGACUGCCGGGGUCAACUCGGAGGAAGGUGGGGACGACGUCAAAUCAUCAUGCCCCUUAUGUCUUGGGCUUCACGCAUGCUACAAUGGCCGGUACAAAGGGUUGCGAUACUGUGAGGUGGAGCUAAUCCCAAAAAGCCGGUCUCAGUUCGGAUUGGGGUCUGCAACUCGACCCCAUGAAGUCGGAGCCGCUAGUAAUCGCAGAUCAGCAACGCUGCGGUGAAUACGUUCCCGGGCCUUGUACACACCGCCCGU